UGGGGAAUCUUGCGCAAUGGGGGAAACCCUGACGCAGCGACGCCGCGUGCGGGGUGAAGGCCUUCGGGUUGUAAACCGCUUUCAGCAGGGACGAGGCCUUAUGGUGACGGUACCUGCAGAAGAAGCUCCGGCUAAAUACGUGCCAGCAGCCGCGGUAAUACGUAUGGAGCAAGCGUUAUCCGGAUUCAUUGGGCGUAAAGCGCUCGUAGGCGGUCUGUUAGGUCGGCAAGUUAAAUCCGGGGGCUCAACCCCCGUCCGCUUCCGAUACCGGCAGACUUGAGUUUGGUAGGGGAAGGUGGAAUUCCUAGUGUAGCGGUGGAAUGCGCAGAUAUUAGGAAGAACACCGGUGGCGAAGGCGGCCUUCUGGGCCAUAACUGACGCUGAGGAGCGAAAGCUAGGGGAGCGAACAGG
Molecule: ribosomal RNA, 411 nt
Filed under: Verrucomicrobiota bacterium
Lineage: Bacteria; Pseudomonadati; Verrucomicrobiota
Description: Verrucomicrobia bacterium partial 16S ribosomal RNA
Rfam family: Bacterial small subunit ribosomal RNA
Source: RNAcentral